Molecule: ribosomal RNA, 460 nt
Filed under: uncultured bacterium
Lineage: Bacteria
Description: partial 16S ribosomal RNA
Rfam family: Bacterial small subunit ribosomal RNA
Source: RNAcentral
CCUACGGGUGUCAGCAGUGAGGAAUCUUGGUCAAUGGCCGUAAGGCUGAACCAGCCAAGUCGCGUGAAGGAAGAAGGAUCUAUGGUUUGUAAACUUCUUUUAUAGGGGACUACAGGUAUCCGCGUGUGGGUAUUUGCAUGUACCCUAUGAAUAAGCAUCGGCUAACUCCUUGCCAGCAGCCGCGGUAAGACGGAGGAUGCGAGCGUUAUCCGGAUUUGUUGGGUGUAACGGGUGCUUAGGUUGUUGUUUAAGUAAGCGGUGAAAGUUUGUGGCUUAACCAUAAAAUUGCCGUUGAAACUGGAAGACUUGAGUGUGUUUGAGGUAGGCGGAAUGCGUGGUGUAGCGGUGGAAUGCAUAGAUAUCACGCAGAACUCCGAUUGCGAAGGCAGCUUACUAGGCCAUAACUGACACUGAAGCACGAAAGCGUGGGGAUCAAACAGGAUUAGAUACCCGGGUAGUC